CAGGAUUGGCUGCCCCUUCAUAACCAUGAGAUAAUUAAAACGGGGGGGGGCAGGGUUAAAAAAAACUUUUUUUUUUUUUUUAUCAGCCAGAGGUUAAUGCAAGUGUUUAGCAGAUGCUUUACUAUUAAAUUAUUUUUCCCCCCAAGUCUCAAAUCUUGAAGAAUCCCAAACCAGUGACAGCAGCCCCGCGACGACCUUGGGCGAUUUCAAAGCACAGGCACCUCGAUUCCCCGAAUUUGUGGUGUGGCCGGCAUCGGUGUUCUCCUGGUUUAACUAGACUGUUUGCAGGCAGGGUCAGGCCCCAGGUCUCAAAGGGAGUCCCACCCCGCAGAGGGAGACCCACCCCAGGGGCUCCAUGAAGACAGUCCUUUCUCAGCCCGCUGGACGCUUUCUGCGGGGUCCAGAGUUGCGGUUGGAAGGCAAGGUCAGUGAGAAUGGGGGGGGGGUUGGUGGGGGCACCCAACUCCUCUGCAGCAGGGUUCUAGGGCUGGCUCCACGGGCCACUACAGCCCUGAGCAGCAGCACCGAGAAAUAGUUUUUAGGUUUGAGGUGGCUGGGCGGUAGGAGAGGGGAAAGAACUGAGAGGGGCUCGAAGUAGGCUCGCAAACCCAGGGCGGGAGUCCAUUCAGGGCCCAUCUGUCCCCUAGGCAAGGGGUCAGUUUCCCUGCAUGCCCGCAGCAUAGCAUCUUAAGGCAGAGAACAGGGUGUGGGGAGAAGCUGAAAUUGUAUUUGUUGGUAAAAUGCCACUUGGGCAUGGAACAAAAUAGUGACCUAGAGCUUUCAACCCCCAACUUGGAUGGGUCUGCGAUUUUAGCACGAGUGGAAUGUUUUAGAGCCCUCUUUCUUCAAGGAAAGAAUAUGGUAGUGUGGUGGGAUUCUGUUUACGUUUUCACCAGGGAGGCAACCCCUGAAUGUGUAAAUACUGGUAG
Molecule: long non-coding RNA, 929 nt
Organism: Mustela erminea (ermine)
Lineage: Eukaryota; Metazoa; Chordata; Mammalia; Carnivora; Mustelidae
Exons: 3
Source: RefSeq, a predicted model, not a curated record